CAAGGUUUCUUAGUAAACUGCUUGGAGAAGAGUUCCCGAGUCCCGUCUUCCUUGCAGUCUAGGCUGUUGCAACAGCUGGUGGCCUGUACGGGGAACAGCUGAGGACUCAGAACUUCUUGCUGUCAGGGCAGUACACUGCUUAUAUGAGGAUCCAGGACUCACCAUGGAGUAGUCCAGGAGCAAAACCCAGUGACCUGAGUGCAUGGGAAAUUUGCCUGAUUAUCAGCUUCCAGGCCCUGAAUGGCCUGGAUCCAGAGGUUGUGAAUUCAAACUGGCACUGGUCAUUGGGCAUGUUGGCCCCAUGAAUGGUUGCUCUGUGGAGAAGACCAUGUUCAGAAACGUGGUGGGUGUUCCAUCCAGUGCUGAUUCAUAUUGGAGGUCCUCAAAGACUAGGUCGUUGGUUUUGGUAUGGAAAUUAUCAAGAAACUUACUAGCGAGACAAGAGAGGAUGUGACAAUGCAGAUGGACCUGAAAACAGUGCUUCUGAAGAAGAGACCCUUAUAGCUCCUUACAUCAUACUCAGGACGCCUGGCAAAGAGACAUUUGCUGAGGGAAAGCAGGCCUGCCACUUUCAAACCACACCGAGGUGCAAGCUGAUGUCAGGAACCUAGAAAGUGAUAAGAAGAAUGACCACAACAAUAAUAGUGAAAUGGACAUCCUUAAGGUGCUGGACCAGCCAAACAUCAUCAGUACCACAGCACAAACCUAUAUGGAACAUGCUACUUGUGGAGAUCUGCUGAGCCAUACUGAGAAAGUGUGCCAUCUGCAGGAGGAUCAUUCCAAGUACAUCUUUAUUUAGGUAGUGUGUGCAGUUCCGUACUGCCAUAAGAAUGGCAUUGUAUACAGAAAUACCAACUAGAUAACAUCUUCCUUGAUGGCAAAGGAAGCAUCAAACAGUGUGACUUUGGCCUGUCCGUCAGAGUCUCCUCUAGACAGAGGUCCAAGGGAUCCUGUGACACCCUCAAAUAUUGUGCUCCAGAGCUAUUUACUGAUACAGGAUGUGAUUCAAGGGCAGUUGACAUCUGGAGCAUGGGAGUGGUGACAGUAUCCUUCCAUUCAAAGCAUAGACCUACUCAGACAUGAAGGAGGAGAUGCUGGAUCCCAAGCACCCCAUUCCUUCCACUCUUUGACAAAACACAGUAAACCUCAUUGUGCAACUGUCCACUGUGAAACGUAACAGAUGCACAAGAUAAGAGACAUUAGGCAGCACCAGUGGCCCAAGGAGAGGGAAGAAUUUUGGAAACUCCCAUCAUCCUCAGAGACACACUGUAACAGCCCAAAUUCCAGGACUGUGGUGAUUCUUUGGGACAUGUAAUACCAUGCCAAAGAUGUUAGUGAUUGUUUACAUAAGAAAAAAUCACGGACACAGACCUAAUUUUAAAAAAAGGACCACAUUAAAUAUCCAGGAAAGUGUCAGCAAACUGGAAGGAAAUGGGUAUCACAUAGGAUGGGAUGUUGACAUAUUGCUCCACUUGGAAGGAUUUCCCUGUAUUGUUUUGGAGGCUGUCCUGGAACUUGCUCUCAAAUCCUCCUUCCUGCCAAGUAGCAGGGCAGCUAUGAGGAAUCAUUCCCUGCACCCAGAGGUCCCUGAAGAGACUCUAAUGAUGUUGUCCCAAGGAACGCCACAUUGUUCCUGGACACAUCCUGAAACAUGUACCCAGGGAAUUCCUGACCUGAGGAUCUGCACACACAGUGUUAUUGCCAGGGAUGGAGGAGAGCACUUCUGGCCUUCCCUUUGGCUGGAAAACUAGCAGGUCAUUUCCUGAGCUCUAAAGGAGCUGAGAAGCUCCACACAACCUCAGGAAGACAUGCUGUGGAGGGCAGUGAAAUGGUUUCUGUCCUAGAAUUCAACUACAGACCACACUCCUGAUUCUCAGAAAGAUCUGGGGAUGGCACAGGGUCCUCUUGUGAAAGCGUCCCGGUGUUACUGUGGAAUACCUGUCCCACAUCGAUGCUCUAUGUAUUGUGACAGUACAGAAAGGUCACUUAUGCCUCCCUGUCCUCACAGAUGACCCAAGAAACCUACCUGUUCAGAUAAAGGUACCUCAGCAGAUCCUUGAGAAGGGAAUGUACAGCUCUGCUUGACCUCUAGACUGGAUUGCCUGAGAAGGGCAGUGUGCAGGGACUCUGUUCCCCAGGUCACCAAUAACAAGACGACAGUACACUCAAGGUCAUCCACUUGUAAUCUAAAUGGUAUUGGAUAGAGACAAUUUACAAUUACUGAAGUACUGAAAUAGAUUUCCAACAUGAUUUACUCUAAUUGGCAUUCAGAAAACUUUAGGAUGUCUGAGAGGAAUCCAAGGGAAUAUAACCUCUCAGACACCCCUGUUUCUCAGCAGCAGCCACUGUUGUUCAGAUGACAGAUCUUUUACUCAGGUAGACUCAGCAAAAUGCCAUCUGAUGCCCAAAUACCAAAUGUAACAACCAACUUGUUUAAUCCUAGAAGAGACAGCAGAUGGCAGAAGAGAUUCCGCUGGACCAUGCUAUCUUGUCCCAGCACGCCCAACAAAACUCAGAGAUCCAGAAAUUUCAUCAGGGACGGAAUGAAAUCUGGACACAUGGAAUCUAACACAACCCCCAGCAACAGACCCCCCUACAUUAUGUCAGCUGAUUUUGUCAGGGCCAUCUAGGGAAAACAAAGCAGUGAAAAACGGUUUGUCUACAAAGGGCUGCAGGAUAAGUAUGAUAAAGCAAACAAUAACGAACCCAUUAGAAAACUGAACACAAUCUCAAAUGUUACAUCUGACCUCAGAUCCAAAACUGCAGUGUUCAUGUAACAGUUACAGAAGAAAAUUACAUAAGUUUCUACCUCAUACUGAACAAGAUCAGAAACAACACAGAGAAGAUGAACUGUUGAUAUGUGAGUUCAGAAGCCGCCAUCCAAGAAACAGAGAAACUGGAGAAGGGCUUGAGGUGACAACUCCUUAGGACUUCGAGAGCUUGGCCUGAUACACCCCAGGAAAGAACCAAUCAAGGCGUUGGUUCACUGCUUAGGAUUAUCAGCGAAUGUCCAGGUAGCAGGCAGAUGUGUUCUGCUCACCACUCAUACACCCAUGCAACCACCAUGAUUACUACAUAAGGAUGUGGGCCAGAAGCAGAAUGACCACUACCAAAGCUGGGGGGUCACUUUCAGAUCUGUCAGCUUUGCUCUUGACUCCCAAAUACCUCAGCCCGGUAGAAGAGGGAGGAUGAAGAUAGGAAUUAUAUAGGACCUGCUGUAGCUGGUGAGUCUCCAUGCUGCUGCUCCUGGAGCCUAGGAUGCCCAAAGAUGCACAGUCUCUAUCCCAUGCUUCACACAUUGUGAGAUGCAACCCAUGCAGAACACAUCACCAUACUGCUGUCCCACAAUGAUUGCAAGGCAUCAGGCUGUGCUGUCUUGGAUGCCCCACACCACAAAACUACUAGGUGUUUCAGGCCCUGAUGGACCACUACAGCGCACAAUCAACAUAUCCAUUUAGAUAUUAGGACUUACCUGACAUUCAUGCCACUUCCAUACACAAUCCUCUUGCAGUCAGGAUCUUAUUGUAGUUCAUGUGUAGAUACAGGCAUGCAUAUAAUGCUAGGCAUCAACCCUUACCUAGCAUCUCACUGUUCUGCUACCCACAUACACUACUAAUCAAUGGCAGUGGGAGUGAGCACGGCUGAAAAUUAGAAGUGCUUUGAGGCAGGAAUACAGGUGUACAAAAGGAACUUACUGAGGAUGGCCUGAUAUCAGGCACAAUCUGAGACUUGAGUCCUGAAGGGUCCAGAAGUAUAUAUAGUAGUGCGCAGGGGGCCAAUUGGGUGUCCAGCAAGGCCUGAAACCAAGGAAAAUAGUUCAGGCUAUUGUAACAGGGGAAGUGAUGUCCAGGUUGCUUGGUAAGUAGAGCACUCAUGAGUUUGGCAGCAGGACUGGGGAGUAUCUAUUAAGGCCUGAAGACGGGACAGCCCUGAUAUUGAGAGAUUAUUUUCAGUGUCUUACGAACACAGCAUUGCACAUUAGGUGGCAGCAUUUGGGAACUUCUAGGUCCAAUAGGACCUGGCUCAUAGCACUCUAUAUAGAAUACCAGGGGUGUGUCCAGCAGUGCUGAUCAAUAGCAGUAUAUGUAGGGCAGUGGUGAUGAUGCUAAUGAUGUAAGGGACACUCUCUCUCUCUCUCUCUCUCUCUCUCUCUCUCUCUCUGUGUGUGUGUGUGUGUGUGUGUGUGUGUGUGUGUGGUGAGGUGAUGUUUUAAAAGUGUAAUCACUACCUUCACCUGCAGUAGAUGUGAAGCUAAGUUUUUCAUUGCACUGUUUUGCCCAACAACAGUGAAUGUAGAGUUGUAGGGUUCACUAGCUCUCCUUCAAGUGGAGAAGGAGGCUAAGAGGACAAGCAGUGUUUGUAUUCAACCAGGAAUUCUGAUCCUUCUGAUGGCUGUCCCCAAUUCUCAAUUGGUAUUUCAGAAUAUUGGUUGUUGCUGUUAAUUUAUUAUUUGGUUACUUGGGUGCUGAGAAGGGCAUCACCUUCAGGAAGGAGUAUCUUCUGAGCAUGGUGUACCUCCUGCACCCCUUCUCUCUUUCUUCCACACCCUCUUCUUAGAAGUGACUCUCCAGAGCCUCUAUACUGUUUGAAAAAGCUGGCUCACUAACUCUCCUCAUUAUGUGGAGAGGCAGGCUAAGAGGACCUGCAGUGAUCAUAUUUAACCAAAGCAUCUUGCCUUGCUGAUGGCUAUCCCCAUGGCUCAAUUCAUAUUUCAGAAUAUUGACUGUUGCUGUUAGUUUAUUAUUUGGUCAGCUGGGUACUGGACAGGGCAUCACCUGCAAGCAGCAGUAUCUAUGGAGCACGGUGUGACUUCUACAUCCCUUGCAUCUUUUCUUCCACACACUCUUGAAAGUGACUCUUUCCAACUUCUGUAUGGAUUGGAAAAGAUGGUCAUUAGCUUCCUUCAAGUGGAGAGGGAGGACAAGAGGACCUGACUGGAUAUUAUUUAGCCAGUAUGUCUCAUUGUACUGAUGGCUGGACCCAAGGCUCAGUUGGUAUUUCAGAAUCUUGAUUGUUUCAGUUUAUUACUUGGUCACCUGGGUGCUGAACAGGGUGUCACCUCCAGGCUGCACUAUCUGUUAAGCAUGGAGUAAUUUCUGCAUCCCUUGUAUCUUUCUUCCACUCCCUCUUCCUGAACAUGACUCCUCCCAGGCUCAAUACUGAUUGGAGAAGCUCAUUCACUAGCUCUCCUCUUUAAGCAGAAUGUGAGGGUAAGAGGAACUGCAGGGAUCAUAUUUAACCAGGGCUUCUUGGCGUGCUGAUAGUUGUCCUUUCAGCUGAAUUGGCACUUCAGAAUAUUAAUUAUUGCUGUUAUUUUUUAUUUGAUUGCCUGAGUGCUGAACUGGUUGCCACCUCCAGGUUGGAAUAUCUGUGGGGCAUGCUGUAGCUUCUGAAUCCCUUCCCUCUUUCUUCCACACCAUCUUUCUAAAAGUGACUCUUUCCAGCUUCUAUGCUGAUGGUAAAAGCUGGCUCACUAGAUCUCCUUAUCGAGGGAACCUCCAGGGGAUAUAUUUAACCAGAUUUAUCUUGCUGGUGGCUAUUCCCAUGGCUAUCCCCACUGCUCAAUUGAUAUUUCAGAAUAUUGGUUGUUUCUGUUAGUUUCCUAUGUGUUAUGAAUGACAAAAUCUCUUCACAGUUAUUGCCAAUGGUGUGCAUCGACUGUAUGACCCUGGGAAUGGUUUCCAUACUGGCAUAUGGUACACAUUCUUGAAUGUGGCACGUCCAAGGUCUUCCCAAAAGUUUACCUAUUAUUACCCUGUACCAGAUAGGGACCAUGAGUAAUCGUGCAAUGAUAAUGUGACUGUUUUUGUCAAAUGGUAGGGAAUAGGACACACUGUGGUGGUGAUGAUAGUGUGGUUUCUACGUAUGGAAAGUGACUAGUUAUCAUGACAUAUAGGACAAUGCCCAAGCUCCACUUAUCACCUGCAAGUCCAUCAUAGGAUUUCCUUGUUAAGAAAUCUGAUUCUAAUAGAGCAAGGAAACACAGACCCCCUUCAACAUCUUUCCUCAUGCAAACUGAAUGGCAAUACCAAAUUCACAAAGCUUUGCUUUGCCCAAUAUGUCACAAAGGAUAUUCUCUAUUAUCACCAUAUUCAAUGAGUCUUUGGUGGAGAAGAGAAGCCGAUGACAUGACUUGUUGUACUGGUCUAUCAUCAUCCUCCUUUAAAUAUCCUAUCUCCCUGAGGAACAUCUCCAGAUCUUUUCCUGCAACAUACUCCAUGACCACAUAAGUUAUUGUCAGUGUGUUGAUGAUGUGAUAACAUUGAACUAAGUUCCUAUGUUUCAAGGAAUGAAAGAUGUUUACUUCAGAGCUGAUAAUGAACCAGAGCAUCGUGGUGCUUCUGAAGGACCUUGACAGUCAUCUUUGCAUGUGUGGGUAGGUUGCAGGCAAGCAUCACCUUCCCGAAUGCACCACAACCUAGAGAUGUUAAGAUACUGAAAUCCUUUUCAAGGAUGUCCUCUACCCAUGGGCUGGCCAUGAUGUUCAGCUCGAUUUCAACCACUGUAUUUUGUGGGAAAUUUCAGGACACACAAUGCUAGAAAAAAAUUAAUGUAGUUUUAGAAUAGAAGUCUAUAGCUAUGAAUUCUCUCACUUGAAUUCUGAGAUAUCCCACAGAAUACAAUGAUGACUUCUAAGGCCCUAGAAAUACAAGAAAAAUCCAGAGGGUAAGUUACAUAAAGAAACUUAUCAAUAGUGUAACAUAUGUUCAGAUUCUGGGGUAGAGUCUAUAAUCAGACACAGUGACAACUGAACUGUUCUGCUAUAUAGAAAGUAGCUACAACUAGAGAUGUUAUAUGAAAUAAGGCAACUACACAAACAGAAAUAUAACAUUUUUGCCUGUAGAUAUUAGAAGAGGGUGAAGAUUUUAUGAAGAAAAAAUAUUAGCCACAGAUAUGGAGUAUAGGAAGUGAAAUUGAUCAGGAAAGUAUGAACAAAAAGUUAUAUAGGCAUGCAUGGGAUGCUAUAAUGAAAUUUGCUCUGAGUAGUGUAGGGUAAAAGGACUAGCCAAAGAAACACACUUUGACUCUGAAACCAAAGCCAAAGAAACAUACUUUGGCCCCGAAUUAGAGCUAAAGAAAUACACUUUUGCCCUGAAAUCAGAGCCAAAGAAACAUACCAUGACCUGAUACAGAGCAGGUUCACUGACCCUGACAUCAGAGCCAAAAGCUUAAAAAUUCCCAGUGAAGGAAACACUUUGUCCCUGAAACCAGAGCCAAAGAAACACACUUGCCCCUGACCAGCUCAGCACAAUACCAAUCCCUGGGCAGGAAAACCAAUCCCCGAGCACGAAACCAACCAAUUUCUGAGCAUGGAAUCCAGCCAAUCUCUGAGCUUAUCCAAGCUCAGGGAUUGAAUUGUGACCCAUUCCCACCCUGAAAAUCUUCACCCUGUAAAAAAUUCUACCACUAAAAAUCCCUAUAUAAGUCAUGUGCUGGUUCAUUUGGCAACUGUCUUUUCCACCCUGGCAGAGGCAGUCAUUCUAUUGGGUUCUUCCCUUCCAAUAAAUGUCUUGAAUGA
Long non-coding RNA from Mesocricetus auratus (golden hamster), 7519 nucleotides. RefSeq lists it as uncharacterized. Lineage: Eukaryota; Metazoa; Chordata; Mammalia; Rodentia; Cricetidae. The transcript is spliced from 6 exons. The record is from RefSeq and is a predicted model, not a curated record.